CGGGCGGGUGAGUAACGCGUGGGUAACCUACCUUAUACAGGGGGAUAACAGUCAGAAAUGGCUGCUAAUACCGCAUAAGCGCACAGAGCUGCAUGGCUCAGUGUGAAAAACUCCGGUGGUAUAAGAUGGACCCGCGUUGGAUUAGCUGGUUGGUGGGGUAACGGCCCACCAAGGCGACGAUCCAUAGCCGACCUGAGAGGGUGACCGGCCACAUUGGGACUGAGACACGGCCCAA
This 235-nucleotide ribosomal RNA is filed under the name uncultured bacterium. RNAcentral describes it as "partial 16S ribosomal RNA". It matches the Rfam family "Bacterial small subunit ribosomal RNA", at positions 99 to 334 of the family's 1533-position model. The record is from RNAcentral.